This 644-nucleotide ribosomal RNA is filed under the name uncultured bacterium. RNAcentral describes it as "bacterial SSU rRNA". It matches the Rfam family "Bacterial small subunit ribosomal RNA", at positions 94 to 740 of the family's 1533-position model. The record is from RNAcentral.
CACGGCGCACGGGUGCGUAACACGUGGGUAAUCUGCCCUCUGAUGGGGAAUAACUCGCCGAAAGGCGAGCUAAUUCCGCAUAAUAUUCCGAGAACUUUGGUUUUUGGACUGAAAGGCGUAAGUCGUCGGAGGAGGAGCCCGCGCACGAUUAGCUAGUUGGUAGGGUAAUGGCCUACCAAGGCUUUGAUCGUUAGCUGGUCUGAGAGGAUGGCCAGCCACACUGGAACUGAGACACGGUCCAGACUCCUACGGGAGGCAGCAGUGGGGAAUCUUGCACAAUGGGCGAAAGCCUGAUGCAGCGACGCCGCGUGGGGGAUGAAGCUUCUCGGAGUGUAAACCCCUUUCGACCGGGACGAAUACCUCGCAAGAGGGGUGACGGUACCGGUAUAAGAAGCCCCGGCUAACUACGUGCCAGCAGCCGCGGUAAGACGUAGGGGGCCAGCGUUGCUCGGAAUUACUGGGUGUAAAGGGUUCGUAGGCGGUGUGGCAAGUCGGGAGUGAAAUCUCUGGGCUUAACCCAGAGGCUGCUUCCAAAACUGCUGUGCUCGAGUGUGAGAGAGGCUCGUGGAAUUGCAGGUGUAGCGGUGAAAUGCGUAGAUAUCUGCAGGAACACCCGUGGCGAAAGCGGCGAGCUGGAUCACUAC